Molecule: ribosomal RNA, 801 nt
Filed under: uncultured bacterium
Lineage: Bacteria
Description: bacterial SSU rRNA
Rfam family: Bacterial small subunit ribosomal RNA
Source: RNAcentral
AGAGUUUGAUCAUGGCUCAGAUUGAACGCUGGCGGCAGGCCUAACACAUGCAAGUCGAGCGGUAGCACAGGAGAGCUUGCUCUCUGGGUGACGAGCGGCGGACGGGUGAGUAAUGUCUGGGAAACUGCCUGAUGGAGGGGGAUAACUACUGGAAACGGUAGCUAAUACCGCAUAACGUCUUCGGACCAAAGUGGGGGACCUUCGGGCCUCACGCCAUCAGAUGUGCCCAGAUGGGAUUAGCUAGUAGGUGGGGUAAUGGCUCACCUAGGCGACGAUCCCUAGCUGGUCUGAGAGGAUGACCAGCCACACUGGAACUGAGACACGGUCCAGACUCCUACGGGAGGCAGCAGUGGGGAAUAUUGCACAAUGGGCGCAAGCCUGAUGCAGCCAUGCCGCGUGUGUGAAGAAGGCCUUCGGGUUGUAAAGCACUUUCAGCGAGGAGGAAGGGUAGUGUGUUAAUAGCACAUUGCAUUGACGUUACUCGCAGAAGAAGCACCGGCUAACUCCGUGCCAGCAGCCGCGGUAAUACGGAGGGUGCAAGCGUUAAUCGGAAUUACUGGGCGUAAAGCGCACGCAGGCGGUUUGUUAAGUCAGAUGUGAAAUCCCCGCGCUUAACGUGGGAACUGCAUUUGAAACUGGCAAGCUAGAGUCUUGUAGAGAGGGGUAGAAUUCCAGGUGUAGCGGUGAAAUGCGUAGAGAUCUGGAGGAAUACCGGUGGCGAAGGCGGCCCCCUGGACAAAGACUGACGCUCAGGUGCGAAAGCGUGGGGAGCAAACAGGAUUAGAUACCCCGGUAGUCCAA